GGAGGUAAGGGCAGUCUGGCUGCGACAUCUGUCACCCCAUUGAUUGCCAAGUUUGAUUUAGCUGAUCUGGCUGGCUAGGCGGCUGUCCCCUUCUUCCCUCCCUGCUCCAUGUGUGUCCCUCCCAAAGCUGCACGAUCCAUCUAAUAGGACCAGUCUUCAGUCAAAUAUAUGAGUAGCUAUGCUGCCCUGCUAGAAUCUCCAAACCAGCUCUUAAGGUACAAGUACUUUUUUUUUUUUCUUGGUUGUGGGGCCUGCAUUCUGGGCCUUGGCUCUG
Molecule: non-coding RNA, 274 nt
Organism: Dipodomys ordii (Ord's kangaroo rat)
Lineage: Eukaryota; Metazoa; Chordata; Mammalia; Rodentia; Heteromyidae
Source: Rfam